This 274-nucleotide ribosomal RNA is filed under the name uncultured bacterium. RNAcentral's name for it is "partial 16S ribosomal RNA". It matches the Rfam family "Bacterial small subunit ribosomal RNA", at positions 523 to 796 of the family's 1533-position model. The record is from RNAcentral.
AUACGAAAGGUGCAAGCGUUGUUCGGAUUUACUGGGCGUAAAGAGAGUGUAGGUGGUUUAUUAAGUCGGAUGUGAAAUCCCGGGGCUCAACCUCGGAACUGCAUUCGAUACUGAUAGGCUAGAGUUUGGGAGGGGUAAGCGGAAUUCCGUGUGUAGCAGUGAAAUGCGUAGAUAUACGGAGGAACACCUGAGGCGAAGGCGGCUUACCGGACCAAUACUGACACUGAGACUCGAAAGCGUGGGUAGCAAACAGGAUUAGAUACCCUAGUAGUCC